CGCCGCUGGGCGUGAACAGGCCGCGGGGUCCCCCUGGACCGCAUUGCUGCAGUGGGGCUGUUGGCGGCAGCCCCGGCUCUCUGACUCCCAUCACUCAUGCCCUCCAGGGGAUUGAUUUGGGGAUCACUUCCUCUCUAUGAAGGGAUUGGUCUGAAAAAACUGUCAGCGCCUCUGAGGGUGGACUUCCGGGCCUGGUGGCUGGGCUCUGUCAACUGUCUCCUACUGGGAAGUUACCGCACAGAGGUGUGAUUUUGAGCCCCCAGAGACAAGCCGGAAGAAGAGCAACCCCAGCAGGGGAGGGGAGGCCUCUGCACUGGCUGGCACCCUGAAAGGCCCAAGGUGUUUAAAGCAGGGGGAAAACCAGUUCCUGUUACUCCAUCGUGGUCAGAGGCAAAGUCCUCUUCUUCAGGAAACAAGUUCUUUUCUGUUGGAUCCCGUGACCCAACGUUCUCCUUUGUCUCCUGCUCUCUGGAAGCAACUCUUAGUCUCGUCUGCAGGCUCAUCUCCUCCGGCAGCCAUUGACUGUGGGAGUUCCUCCAUCACUCAGAGCUGUCUUCUCGCCUCCCGCUCUGUAAUGGCUCCCUGUUGACUCGUCCAUACCCAGGGCUUCGGAACCCACCUAUAUCACAGAUUAGAUUCCUGGGCCAAAGCGCCUGUCACAGAUUCCAGCUGCCUCUUUGACCACACAACUUGAAUGUCUCUAAGCAUCCCAGACUCAACAGGUCUGAAAGGAAUUCAUCAUCUUUCCUCACAUGUGAUCCUCUUCUUACUUUAUAACCAGUUGUGAAGUCAAAACCCGAGUAUCUGCUUUGACACUUCCCUCCCCAUCCCCCCAGAUCAAACCCACUGCCAAGUCUCGCUGAUCCUUCUUCAGAAAGAUCUCUAGUGCCUGUCCCCUCCUCUCCGCCUGUACUCUGGUCCAGGUGGUGAGUCCUAACUGGUCUCCACCAUCUCUUCCUAGUUUGAUCUCUGCUGCAGCCAAUAG
Long non-coding RNA from Equus caballus (horse), 985 nucleotides. The record is from Ensembl. NCBI's taxonomy places the organism in Eukaryota, Metazoa, Chordata, Mammalia, Perissodactyla, Equidae.